This 231-nucleotide ribosomal RNA is filed under the name uncultured bacterium. RNAcentral's name for it is "partial 16S ribosomal RNA". It matches the Rfam family "Bacterial small subunit ribosomal RNA", at positions 107 to 339 of the family's 1533-position model. The record is from RNAcentral.
UGAGUAACGCGUAGAUAAUCUACCCUCCAAUCUGGGACAACUUUUCGAAAGAGAAGCUAAUACCGGAUAAUAUCUUUUGUCUAGUGGCAGAAGAUUGAAAGAUUUAUCGUUGGAGGAUGAGUUUGCGUACCAUUAGCUUGCUGGUGAGGUAACGGCUCACCAAGGCUACGAUGGUUAGCGGGUCUGAGAGGAUGAUCAGCCACACUGGGACUGAGACACGGCCCAGACUCC